Molecule: long non-coding RNA, 221 nt
Filed under: Vigna radiata
Lineage: Eukaryota; Viridiplantae; Streptophyta; Magnoliopsida; Fabales; Fabaceae
Description: long non-coding RNA (VRAD_LNC005830)
Source: RNAcentral
AACUAGCAAAGACAGAGUGUGCUACUACGCUAUCCAAAGAUAGGAACAAAACUGCACUAAAACACAACGACUAUGUAAGACAUCGAUUAAUGCAUACACCGACGUCUAUAGUGACCUUAGACGUUGGUUAAUGACAUGUUUGAAGUCUUUAUAGUGCUCCUAAACGUCGGUUGGUUCCCACACCGACGUCUAUAUGGUGCUAUUAGAUGUCGGAGUAGGCC